This 295-nucleotide small nuclear RNA is filed under the name Cebus imitator (Panamanian white-faced capuchin). Its description in RNAcentral is "7SK RNA (ENSCCAG00000009538.1)". It matches the Rfam family "7SK RNA". From Rfam's summary of the family: 7SK was discovered as an abundant small nuclear RNA in the mid-70s but a possible function has only recently been suggested. Two independent studies have found that 7SK RNA binds the CDK9/cyclin T complex (known as elongation factor P-TEFb). P-TEFb activates transcription by phosphorylating the C-terminal domain of RNA polymerase II. Lineage: Eukaryota; Metazoa; Chordata; Mammalia; Primates; Cebidae. The record is from RNAcentral.
GGAUAUGAGGGCAAUCUGGCUGCGACAUCUGUCACCCCAUUGAUCUCCAGGGUUGAUUCAGCUGAUCUGGCUGGCUAGGCAGGUGUCCCCUUUCUCCUUCACUGCUCCAUCUGCAUCCCUCCUGAAGCUGCGUCCUCCAUCCAAAAGGAUGACCUGACAAGGGAGGACCAGUCUUUGGUCAAAGGUAUACAAGUAACUGUGCCCCCCUGCUAGAACCUCCAAACAAGCUCUCAAAUCACUGGUGCUCUGUAUUCAAACACCAACUGUCCCGGUCCUGGGCCGGCUGUCUUCUAAG